GAAGUUGUCGUCCUCGGCGGACAGCAGGGCCUGGAUGAAAUGAGGCGGGAUGUCGGAAAACUUGAUCGGAGACCGGCGCAUCUCGCCAAAUUCUGCUAUCAAUUUGCCGUCGCUGCUGUAAACCCGAAGAGGAAUUUGCAACUGAACGCUUUUCAGAGCCUCCACGGACGGCAGGCCGGGGCUAAGAUACAGAUAUGCGCCGCUCAGGCCGAGCAGAAGCCCGCAUACCACGGCGAGGAAGGUCCAGCAGAAAAACUUGAGCAGGCGGAUCAAGGCUUUCGGAUUUCCAU
Molecule: antisense RNA, 290 nt
Filed under: Pseudomonas massiliensis
Lineage: Bacteria; Pseudomonadati; Pseudomonadota; Gammaproteobacteria; Pseudomonadales; Pseudomonadaceae
Description: anti ponA RNA
Rfam family: anti ponA RNA
About the family: Transcribed antisense to the penicillin-binding protein 1A gene called ponA. It was identified by RNAseq and the expression was validated by 5' and 3' RACE experiments.
Source: RNAcentral